AUGAAAACUUUCUCCAUGCUCUCUAACAUCAGUCGUACAUUCAUGAAGAAUCCAACGGUAGUUUUCAAAUUUUAAUUAUCUAAUCACUGUAGUUUUGAUUGGAUGACUUCAUUCCUGAAAAUAUUGAUGAGUCCGUAUCAGUGUGUCUUCUGCCACAACUUUCUAUUUCAAGCUCUGUUCUCUCUCACUACCUUACUGUGUGCGCAAUUAUAUGUUCCCUAGAAUCGAGUAACUAUUUUGGUUCCUUCUACGGCCUUUACUAACAAUGUGCACACACAUGUACAACGAACUUAGAUAAAAGACAUGCUCUGCAUGCUUCCCAUAUAAACAAAAACACUGUUCAUGCACGCCUUUGCAGGGAGACCAGUAUAUGGACGAAAUGAAAAUGAACUCCCUAGUCUGCUUGAGAUUUUGAGAGAACUGAAAGUAUUGGUGAUUCCACAUGAGAUUUACAGAGUUCAACUUUGAAGAGAACAAUAGAAAUACAGGAGAACAUCAAUCUCUUUUGCCAAACUCGUGAUAACAUCCUCAAAA
Carica papaya (papaya) is the source of this 534-nucleotide non-coding RNA. The record is from RefSeq and is a predicted model, not a curated record. NCBI's taxonomy places the organism in Eukaryota, Viridiplantae, Streptophyta, Magnoliopsida, Brassicales, Caricaceae.